RNAcentral lists this ribosomal RNA (774 nucleotides) under uncultured Neocallimastigales. Its description in RNAcentral is "partial large subunit ribosomal RNA". It matches the Rfam family "Eukaryotic large subunit ribosomal RNA", at positions 24 to 627 of the family's 3401-position model. Lineage: Eukaryota; Fungi; Neocallimastigomycota; Neocallimastigomycetes; Neocallimastigales. The record is from RNAcentral.
UAUCUCUGUAGAGUCUGCAUAUCAAUAAGCGGAGGAAAAGAAACUAACUAGGAUUCCCUCAGUAACGGCGAGUGAAGCGGGAAGAGCUCAAAUUUGAAAUCUUCAAGGUUCUACCUUGACGAAUUGUAGUUUAAAGAAGUGUUUUCUGUUGGUGUUUUGGUAAAAGUUCUUUGGAAUAGGACAUCAUAGAGGGUGAGAAUCCCGUAUUUGACCAUUACUUCCAGCGUUGUGAUACACUUUCAAAGAGUCGGAUUGUUUGGGAAUGCAGUCCAAAAUGGGUGGUAAAUUUCAUCUAAAGCUAAAUAUUGGCGAGAGACCGAUAGCGAACAAGUACCGUGAGGGAAAGAUGAAAAGAACUUUGAAAAGAGAGUUAAACAGUACGUGAAAUUGUCAAAAGGGAAGCGUUUGACACCAGUGUUGUUUUCUCGAAAAUCAAUUAAAAAAGGCAGGAUUUUGUGUUGUAUUGACUUUAUCAGCUUUCUGCACUCUUUUCUUGUCUUUUUUAAUGCACUUUUCGUUUAACAAGUCAACAUCAAUUUCUUUUGUUGUAAAAGGGUCAUUGGAAGGUGGCUUUCUUUUCGGAGAAAGUGUUUAUAGCCUUUGGCCUCUGCAAUCGGAGAGAUUGAGGUCUGCAGCGUAGAUCCUUCGGGGUUAGAUACAUUUGUGCUAAGUUAUAGCCUUUCAUAGACAACUUGUUGACUAUGAUCAGUCAUGUAGCUUACUCGCUUAUGCUAUUUUACCUACGCUUAGGAUGUUGACGAUCAGCUGAGCGCG